Molecule: regulatory RNA element, 106 nt
Organism: Proteiniclasticum ruminis
Lineage: Bacteria; Bacillati; Bacillota; Clostridia; Eubacteriales; Clostridiaceae
Rfam family: PyrR binding site
About the family: This family represents the PyrR binding site and terminator structure. This RNA structure is found upstream of a variety of genes involved in pyrimidine biosynthesis and transport. The alignment also includes a portion of the antiterminator structure.
Source: Rfam
GAAAUCUUUAACAAGGUCCAGAGAGGCCAAGAAGAUGGUAAGCAUGAAUCAAAGAAUACGUAGGCUUAUUAUACCUCUUGUCUGUUUGGACAAGAGGUUUUUUUAU